Molecule: long non-coding RNA, 403 nt
Filed under: Dasypus novemcinctus (nine-banded armadillo)
Lineage: Eukaryota; Metazoa; Chordata; Mammalia; Cingulata; Dasypodidae
Description: lncRNA (ENSDNOG00000052679.1)
Source: RNAcentral
AACUGAGCUUGGCAGAGCAAGGAUGUGAACAAUUGUGCAGGUGGGCUACUCAGGGCGAGUGAAGAGAUAAGGCAUCCAAUCAGGGACGGGCAACCUGCAGCCCUGCCAGUAUGUCCCUCUACCAGAUUUCUGUAAUCCCAGCACGGGAGACUGCCAGCACUGGGAGAAGUUCAAUGGGCAGAAACAAAGAGAAGAACAAGGAAGUCGAGAAUUCCAGAGAUUGAAAAGGGAUAAGAGGAAGGAGAAAAUGCUGGGCUGGUGUGAAGCAAUAGCCCGUAACCCUCACAGAAUUCCAAACAACACGCGAACACCCGAGAUCUCAGGGGACUUGGCUGAUGCCUCACAAAACUCCACAUUGGUGAGUGAAAACUUAUUUUUCCUCAAAAAGGCUUGUAUGUAAAUG